CGGCGGACGGGUGAGUAACGCGUGGGUAACCUGCCUCAUACAGGGGGAUAACAGUUAGAAAUGACUGCUAAUACCGCAUAAGACCACAGCACCGCAUGGUGCAGGGGUAAAAACUCCGGUGGUAUGAGAUGGACCCGCGUCUGAUUAGCUAGUUGGUGAGGUAACGGCCCACCAAGGCGACGAUCCAUAGCCGACCUGAGAGGGUGACCGGCCACAUUGGGACUGAGACACGGCCCAA
This 238-nucleotide ribosomal RNA is filed under the name uncultured bacterium. Its description in RNAcentral is "partial 16S ribosomal RNA". It matches the Rfam family "Bacterial small subunit ribosomal RNA", at positions 96 to 334 of the family's 1533-position model. The record is from RNAcentral.